AGUUUCCAGCACCAAACUUGUGUCGGCCAACAUUUGAGUCAAAAAGCUUGCUCAGAUUGAAAAAAGGGGGUUGCAAAGAGUGGCGAACGGGUGAGUAACACGUGGGAAACCUACCUCUUAGCAGGGGAUAACAUUUGGAAACAGAUGCUAAUACCGUAUAACAAUGACAACCGCAUGGUUGUUAUUUAAAAGAUGGUUCUGCUAUCACUAAGAGAUGGUCCCGCGGUGCAUUAGCUAGUUGGUAAGGUAAUGGCUUACCAAGGCGAUGAUGCAUAGCCGAGUUGAGAGACUGAUCGGCCACAAUGGGACUGAGACACGGCCCAUACUCCUACGGGAGGCAGCAGUAGGGAAUCUUCCACAAUGGGCGAAAGCCUGAUGGAGCAACGCCGCGUGUGUGAUGAAGGGUUUCGGCUCGUAAAACACUGUUGUAAGAGAAGAAUGACAUUGAGAGUAACUGUUCAAUGUGUGAAUGGUAUUCUUACCAGAAAGGAACGGCUAAAUACGUGCCACCAAGCCGCGGUAAUACGUAUGUUCCAAGCGUUAUCCUGGAUUUAUUGGGCGUAAAGCGAGCGCAGACGGUUAUUUAAGUCGGAAGUGAAAGCCCUCAGCUCAACUGAGGAAUUGCUUUGGAAACUGGAUGACUUGAGUGCAGUAGAGGAAAGUGGAACUCCAUGUGUAGCGGUGAAAUGCGUAGAUAUAUGGAAGAACACCAGUGGCGAAGGCGGCUUUCUGGACUGUAACUGACGUUGAGGCUCGAAAGUGUGGGUAGCAAACAGGAUUAGAUACCCUGGUAGUCCACACCGUAAACGAUGAGUGCUAGGUGUUUGAGGGUUUCCGCCCUUAAGUGCCGCAGCUAACGCAUUAAGCACUCCGCCUGGGGAGUACGACCCGCAAGGUUGAAACUCAAAGGAAUUGACGGGGACCCGCACAAGCGGUGGAGCAUGUGGUUUAAUUCGAAGCAACGCGAAGAACCUUACCAGGUCUUGACAUCCCUUGACAACUCCAGAGAUGGAGCGUUCCCUUCGGGGACAAGGUGACAGGUGGUGCAUGGUUGUCGUCAGCUCGUGUCGUGAGAUGUUGGGUUAAGUCCCGCAACGAGCGCAACCCUUAUUACUAGUUGCCAGCAUUCAGUUGGGCACUCUAGUGAGACUGCCGGUGACAAACCGGAGGAAGGUGGGGAUGACGUCAAAUCAUCAUGCCCCUUAUGACCUGGGCUACACACGUGCUACAAUGGCGUAUACAACGAGUUGCCAACCCGCGAGGGUGAGCUAAUCUCUUAAAGUACGUCUCAGUUCGGAUUGUAGGCUGCAACUCGCCUACAUGAAGUCGGAAUCGCUAGUAAUCGCGGAUCAGCACGCCGCGGUGAAUACGUUCCCGGGUCUUGUACACACCCCCCUGUCACACCAUGAGAGUUUGUUUCACCCAAAGCUCGUUGGGGGUAUACCUUUCUGGCGUAGGACCCG
RNAcentral lists this ribosomal RNA (1463 nucleotides) under Weissella confusa. RNAcentral describes it as "bacterial SSU rRNA". It matches the Rfam family "Bacterial small subunit ribosomal RNA". Lineage: Bacteria; Bacillati; Bacillota; Bacilli; Lactobacillales; Lactobacillaceae. The record is from RNAcentral.